This is a non-coding RNA of Gossypium arboreum, 145 nucleotides long. Lineage: Eukaryota; Viridiplantae; Streptophyta; Magnoliopsida; Malvales; Malvaceae. The record is from Rfam.
UGUUAAAAAUUUCAUCUAUUUAUAUUGUUAAAAACUGACAUGGUUAUUAGAAUAACCAAACAGUAACAUAUGACGUGCCAUGUAUACCUCAUGCUGACAUACAAUGAUCAGUUUUUAACAGUAGAAAUUGAUGAAAUUUUUAAUA